Molecule: small RNA, 334 nt
Filed under: Arabidopsis thaliana (thale cress)
Lineage: Eukaryota; Viridiplantae; Streptophyta; Magnoliopsida; Brassicales; Brassicaceae
Description: ATSL156200
Source: RNAcentral
CAAAUACAACAUAAACAAACCAGUCAUUGAACAAUUCACCCAAACACACAUUCACCACACCUACAUAUCAUCACAUAAAACAAAUCAUACAACCCAAUCGCUCAGAUAAGCUCGUGGUCACGCACUCACCUUAACAAAUUGAUCCUAACAAUAAUUAAACCAGGAGAGACUCUCCUUGCGUCUGAAACAGUCCAGAACCGCCCUACAACAAGUCCACAACCAAAAAAACCUUGAAGCAAACUGGACAGGAAAAAUCAGAAACAAGCAGUCUCAAAGACGAAACCCUAAAAUACAAACUAACCGUUAACUAUUCAAUCGCCCCGGUGAAACCCUA